UGGGCUGGUCCGCGGUGAUUGCAGGGGA
This 28-nucleotide small RNA is filed under the name Bombyx mori (domestic silkworm). RNAcentral describes it as "ovarian small RNA-35026". Lineage: Eukaryota; Metazoa; Arthropoda; Insecta; Lepidoptera; Bombycidae. The record is from RNAcentral.